CAUUAAUAACCUGAUUUCAGGACCGUCCCCAUACCCCGUCCGGUAUGGGCGCCAAAACCAUAAACCUCAAUACCCCAUCCGAUAUGAGGGUGAAACGGGCCGUCCCCAUACCCCGUCCGGUAUGGGCGCCAAAACACAUAAGGUCUCCAUACCCGUCCGGUAUGAGAGACCACGUUCCCGGUAGGGUUCCCUAUGGACCCGGUCUGUCCACCAUCUCCCAGGAUAUCUAGUCAGGCUGUCCACAUUAUCCAUUUAUCAAUUCACAUAACCUUUUUUCCCUUUUCCUUGGUCUCAAUCAUUCAAUCAUACACAAACAUGUAAACUAGUAAUUGAUACCAAACAAGACAACACAGUAUCGGGUUCAAAAUCAUCCAAUCCAUAAUCAAUGAAACAGUGAUUCAUGCACACAAAAUCAUAAAAUAAAAACAUCAGAUAUCAUAUUGCAUUUAAAAUCACAAAAUAGAUCAAACA
This 471-nucleotide long non-coding RNA is filed under the name Carica papaya (papaya). RNAcentral's name for it is "long non-coding RNA (CPAP_LNC012731)". Lineage: Eukaryota; Viridiplantae; Streptophyta; Magnoliopsida; Brassicales; Caricaceae. The record is from RNAcentral.